AAAAAGACAAACCCUAGGUUUCCAUGUCCAACGUUUGACUGUCCGUCUUAUAUGAAAUUUUUUUAUAAUUUGUAUUUUCAUUGUUGUUAGAGGAUAAAAUAUGAUUAAUACUUUAUGCGUGACUUGUCUUUUUAAUUUUUUUCAUAAUUUUUUCAAAUAAGACGGACGGUCAAACGUUGGACACGGAAAUCAGGGUUUAUCUUUUU
Molecule: microRNA precursor, 206 nt
Filed under: Oryza glumipatula
Lineage: Eukaryota; Viridiplantae; Streptophyta; Magnoliopsida; Poales; Poaceae
Description: MIR812 microRNA precursor family
Rfam family: MIR812 microRNA precursor family
Source: Rfam by way of RNAcentral